RNAcentral lists this ribosomal RNA (450 nucleotides) under uncultured bacterium. RNAcentral describes it as "bacterial SSU rRNA". It matches the Rfam family "Bacterial small subunit ribosomal RNA", at positions 354 to 796 of the family's 1533-position model. The record is from RNAcentral.
GUGGGGAAUUUUGGACAAUGGGCGCAAGCCUGAUCCAGCAAUGCCACGUGCAGGAAGAAGGCCUUCGGGUUGUAAACUGCUUUUGUACGGAACGAAACGGUCCGGGUUAAUACCCUGGGCUAAUGACGGUACCGUAAGAAUAAGCACCGGCUAACUACGUGUCAGCAGCCGCGGUAAUACGUAGGGUGCAAGCGUUAAUCGGAAUUACUGGGCGUAAAGCGUGCGCAGGCGGUUUUGUAAGACAGGCGUGAAAUCCCCGGGCUCAACCUGGGAAUUGCGCUUGUGACUGCAAGGCUGGAGUGCGGCAGAGGGGGAUGGAAUUCCGCGUGUAGCAGUGAAAUGCGUAGAUAUGCGGAGGAACACCGAUGGCGAAGGCAAUCCCCUGGGCCUGCACUGACGCUCAUGCACGAAAGCGUGGGGAGCAAACAGGAUUAGAAACCCGGGUAGUCC